GACGAACGCUGGCGGCGUGCUUAACACAUGCAAGUCGAACGGAAAGGCCCUGCUUUUGUGGGGUGCUCGAGUGGCGAACGGGUGAGUAACACGUGAGUAACCUGCCCUUGACUUUGGGAUAACUUCAGGAAACUGGGGCUAAUACCGGAUAGGAGCUCCUGCUGCAUGGUGGGGGUUGGAAAGUUUCGGCGGUUGGGGAUGGACUCGCGGCUUAUCAGCUUGUUGGUGGGGUAGUGGCUUACCAAGGCUUUGACGGGUAGCCGGCCUGAGAGGGUGACCGGCCACAUUGGGACUGCGAUACGGCCCAGACUCCUACGGGAGGCAGCAGUGGGGAAUAUUGCACAAUGGGAGGAAGCCUGAUGCAGCAACGCCGCGUGCGGGAUGACGGCCUUCGGGUUGUAAACCGCUUUCGCCUGUGACGAAGCGUGAGUGACGGUAAUGGGUAAAGAAGCACCGGCUAACUACGUG
RNAcentral lists this ribosomal RNA (468 nucleotides) under uncultured bacterium. RNAcentral describes it as "partial 16S ribosomal RNA". It matches the Rfam family "Bacterial small subunit ribosomal RNA", at positions 28 to 507 of the family's 1533-position model. The record is from RNAcentral.